CCUACGGGUGGCAGCAGUGGGGAAUUUUGGACAAUGGGCGAAAGCCUGAUCCAGCCAUUCCGCGUGAGUGAAGAAGGCCUUCGGGUUGUAAAGCUCUUUCGGCGGGGAAGAAAUCGGUGAGGCUAAUACCUUUACUGGAUGACGGUACCUGAAGAAGAAGCACCGGCUAACUACGUGCCAGCAGCCGCGGUAAUACGUAGGGUGCGAGCGUUAAUCGGAAUUACUGGGCGUAAAGCGUGCGCAGGCGGUUUUGUAAGACAGCUGUGAAAUCCCCGGGCUCAACCUGGGAACUGCGGUUGUGACUGCAAGGCUAGAGUACGGCAGAGGGGGGUGGAAUUCCACGUGUAGCAGUGAAAUGCGUAGAUAUGUGGAGGAACACCAAUGGCGAAGGCAGCCCCCUGGGUCGAUACUGACGCUCAUGCACGAAAGCGUGGGGAGCAAACAGGAUUAGAUACCCUAGUAGUCC
Molecule: ribosomal RNA, 466 nt
Filed under: uncultured bacterium
Lineage: Bacteria
Description: bacterial SSU rRNA
Rfam family: Bacterial small subunit ribosomal RNA
Source: RNAcentral